This 30-nucleotide non-coding RNA is filed under the name Mus musculus (house mouse). Lineage: Eukaryota; Metazoa; Chordata; Mammalia; Rodentia; Muridae. The record is from RNAcentral.
UGAUUGGACUGGUCGCCUGCGAAUCACUUC